This is a long non-coding RNA of Lineus longissimus, 2165 nucleotides long. RefSeq lists it as uncharacterized. The transcript has 3 exons. The record is from RefSeq and is a predicted model, not a curated record. Lineage: Eukaryota; Metazoa; Nemertea; Pilidiophora; Heteronemertea; Lineidae.
GUCUCGAAUCCCGCUAAAAUAAGGGUGUCUAUCCCGAAUCCCGACAGUUAUUUUCGGCCCAUCCCAGUGUCCCGAAAAUACCCGUUCUCCCCCUCAUACAUAGUAGACCAUAUUGUCACAUUGAUGUUUUCUUUCAUUACACUUAGACUACAUUGAGAUCUACAUUUUCGACAAAGGCCAGGUGUAAUAUUAUUACGUACUUGAUGAAGGUAAUAUUAAUUUCUUCAAAUUUGAAGCAUGACGUUAAUGGAGUACCAGCACAACUUCAUUGACUGCUACGUGGCGCUGGUGGAAACUAAGGUAUUGCAUCGCUCAUAUCACUUGAAAAAAACAUUUACCCUAGUUACGACCAAAGCUGCUUAGCAGAGGGCGAUACCUCAUCAGGAGCGCCACAAUCAUAUCAUUGGUGUGAAAGCAUUUGUAUGAAGUUUUUCAGUUCUCAAUGUGUUCGAAACCUUAAUUGUGAAUUUGUGCACUUCGAAUUCAAAUUUACGUCACUACGUUAGUUUGACAUCCAUUGAUGUCACGGUAAUUUCACUGUUAUGCUGUGCUGCUUUCAGGUUUAAUGACACGAAUGAGUACAAGUACAUUACAUUUUUCGACGAAGGCCUUCUGUAAUUUCAUACGCUUCUUACGCAACAUUCAAUAGAUUUAUUUACUGUAUUAUCAUUUCGACCAAGGCGAAUUCGACACUUCAAUUACACAAGCACAAUCAAACUUAGUCAUUCCAGUCAGUUACUGAAGCACAGCGAAAACUGUCUGAAUUAGUGCUGCUGAUGGCAUGUAAUUACUCUACUACCACUACCAGUGACAGUCAAUGUCCAAAUAUUUUCAAGUGUGCGAAAUUAGUACUCGUCUACUUCUUAGUGUUAUUUGAAUGCAAUGUAUGUUAUAAAAAUAUUUUUUCAACACUAUAUCAACAUUCUCAUUCCUGUCAGUUUCUGAAAAUCAGCUAAAGCAAUCGCUACCAAUGCAGCGGAUAACAGCAAUUCUUUUUGUUCCCAAUGCCCAUCCAUGACAAUAUAUUUCACGCAUGUGACAAUCAUGUAAUCAUCGUGUUUUUUGUGUUCUAUUCAUGCAAUAAAUAAAUUCAGUAUUUUCAAAUCAUUGGUGCUACAAAACUAUUCUCAUUAUAGAUUAUUCAUAUUUUAUAAAAUGCUGUCAUGUCAAAUUUUGUGUCCUAUAAAUCAUAAUGAAGUCGGCAUUUUAUAUACAACUUUUGUACUCCUCCUAAAUAAACAUACAAAUCUUGUUUUAUGUAAACUUUGUAUAUGUGACCCGUCACAGCAAAACCAGGCGCAUGUCGCUCUGAGCUUGGCAGGUUGAGACGGACUGUUCUAAUCUUUCAUUAGCGACACCAUUUCUUACCAGAGUGCCUCCUUCAUUCAUACAUCUUGUACUUUAACUCAAGAUACCCAUCUUUGAAUAUUUUUAGUAUACCAAGUACUACAAUGUCAAUGUAUUGAAGUCAUGUUCUUGUAGUGUUAUUGGCUUUCUAUUAUCUUGUCAAAAUACCACUUGGUUCUCGCAAAAUCUCAAUAAAAACAAAUGCUAUUGCAUGUAUUGCAUAUUCUAACAGCUAUCCACUGUAUCGAUUUAUCCAUCAUCUGUACUAUUUGUCACAAAAAUGUUAUAUUAUGUAAAUCAUAUUUCAUUACAUAAUGCACACUGCCAAUUACUGCUGAACCAUUCAUAUGUCAUUUAAAUAAAUAAUUUUCAACUUUUUAAAACCGUCUUAUAGUACUGUUCUUGUCACUUAGCUGAACCAAUUGCUCUAUAGCAUGAAAUUUCCAGAAAUGCCCCAGGGACUGAAAAGUGCUGUUUUAACAGAGAGGUGUCCUAAACUGAGAAGUCGAGUUGAAUGGAAACAACCAAUUUGGAACCAAAAACUACUGUCCUUAUUAAAGAGGUUGUCCUCAAUAGAAAGGUGUCCACAAAAAGUAGGUCCACUGUAUAUGAAAGUACAAACCCUGGUACAUGUAGUGACAUCAUCUACUCCUCGAUGUGGACACCUGCAAAUGCAGCGACAAUGUCACAUCAGUUAUUUAAUUCAUCGUCCUUUGUGCAGAUGGCACCACCCAUCAAACAUGUUGGUGACGAAUAGUGUCGCAGCAUUUCGUCACCGAGCUUUCACGAAAAUGCACUGUCAUUCAUUCAGCCAUAAG